GCGGGUAUAGUCUAGUGGUUAUGAUGUCUGCUUUACACGCAGAAGGUCGUGAGUUCGACCCUCACUACCCGUA
RNAcentral lists this transfer RNA (73 nucleotides) under Pyrenophora seminiperda CCB06. Its description in RNAcentral is "tRNA-Val (TAC) (tRNA-Val-TAC-1-1)". It matches the Rfam family "tRNA". From Rfam's summary of the family: Transfer RNA (tRNA) molecules are approximately 80 nucleotides in length. Their secondary structure includes four short double-helical elements and three loops (D, anti-codon, and T loops). The record is from RNAcentral. Lineage: Eukaryota; Fungi; Ascomycota; Dothideomycetes; Pleosporales; Pleosporaceae.